This 253-nucleotide ribosomal RNA is filed under the name uncultured bacterium. RNAcentral describes it as "partial 16S ribosomal RNA". It matches the Rfam family "Bacterial small subunit ribosomal RNA", at positions 524 to 776 of the family's 1533-position model. The record is from RNAcentral.
UACGAGGGGUGCAAGCGUUAUUCGGAAUAACUGGGCGUAAAGGGUGCGUAGACGGUACAUUAAGCUUGUUGUUAAAUUCCCUGGCCUAACUGGGGACCUGCAGUGAGAACUGAUGUACUAGAGGGUGAGAGAGAGAAGUGGAAUUUCCGGAGUAGCGGUAAAAUGCGUAGAUCUCGGAAGGAACACCAAUGGCGAAGGCAGCUUCUUGGCUCAUACCUGACGUUGAGGCACGAAAGCGUGGGGAGCAAACAGG